Molecule: transfer RNA, 72 nt
Rfam family: tRNA
About the family: Transfer RNA (tRNA) molecules are approximately 80 nucleotides in length. Their secondary structure includes four short double-helical elements and three loops (D, anti-codon, and T loops). Further hydrogen bonds mediate the characteristic L-shaped molecular structure. tRNAs have two regions of fundamental functional importance: the anti-codon, which is responsible for specific mRNA codon recognition, and the 3' end, to which the tRNAs corresponding amino acid is attached (by aminoacyl-tRNA synthetases). tRNAs cope with the degeneracy of the genetic code in two manners: having more than one tRNA (with a specific anti-codon) for a particular amino acid; and 'wobble' base-pairing, i.e. permitting non-standard base-pairing at the 3rd anti-codon position.
Source: Rfam
GGUUCCAUGGUCUAGCGGUAUGACGUCUCCUUCACACGGAGAAGAUCCCGGGUUCGAUCCCCGGUGGGAUCA